CACCAGCGCCUCGAGUGGGGAUCGCGAUUAUUGGGCCUAAAGCGUCCGUAGCAGGCUUUGUAGAUCCUUUGUGAAAUUGUCUGGCAUAACCAGACAGCGUGCAGAGGAGACCGCAGAGCUUGAGACCGGGAGAGGUCAGAAGUAUUCCUAGGGUACCGGUAAAAUGGGUUAAUCCUGGGAGGACUACCAAUGGCGAAGGCAUCUGACCAGAACGGUUCUGACUGUGAGGGACGAAAGCUAGGGGAGCAAAACGG
RNAcentral lists this ribosomal RNA (254 nucleotides) under uncultured bacterium. RNAcentral describes it as "partial 16S ribosomal RNA". It matches the Rfam family "Archaeal small subunit ribosomal RNA", at positions 474 to 727 of the family's 1478-position model. The record is from RNAcentral.